This 481-nucleotide ribosomal RNA is filed under the name uncultured bacterium. RNAcentral's name for it is "partial 16S ribosomal RNA". It matches the Rfam family "Bacterial small subunit ribosomal RNA", at positions 28 to 507 of the family's 1533-position model. The record is from RNAcentral.
GAUGAACGCUGGCGGCGUGCUUAACACAUGCAAGUCGAACGAAGCACUUUAUUUGAUUUCCUUCGGGACUGAUUAUUUUGUGACUGAGUGGCGGACGGGUGAGUAACGCGUGGGUAACCUGCCUUGUACAGGGGGAUAACAGUUGGAAACGGCUGCUAAUACCGCAUAAGCGCACGGCAUCGCAUGAUGCAGUGUGAAAAACUCCGGUGGUAUAAGAUGGACCCGCGUUGGAUUAGCUAGUUGGUGAGGUAACGGCCCACCAAGGCGACGAUCCAUAGCCGACCUGAGAGGGUGACCGGCGACAUUGGGACUGAGACACGGCCCGAACUCCUACGGGAGGCAGCAGUGGGGAAUAUUGCACAAUGGGCGAAAGCCUGAUGCAGCGACGCCGCGUGAGCGAAGAAGUAUUUCGGUAUGUAAAGCUCUAUCAGCAGGGAAGAUAAUGACGGUACCUGACGAAGAAGCACCGGCUAAAUACGUG